Molecule: ribosomal RNA, 1396 nt
Filed under: Lactiplantibacillus plantarum
Lineage: Bacteria; Bacillati; Bacillota; Bacilli; Lactobacillales; Lactobacillaceae
Description: bacterial SSU rRNA
Rfam family: Bacterial small subunit ribosomal RNA
Source: RNAcentral
AACUCUGGUAUUGAUUGGUGCUUGCAUCAUGAUUUACAUUUGAGUGAGUGGCGAACUGGUGAGUAACACGUGGGAAACCUGCCCAGAAGCGGGGGAUAACACCUGGAAACAGAUGCUAAUACCGCAUAACAACUUGGACCGCAUGGUCCGAGUUUGAAAGAUGGCUUCGGCUAUCACUUUUGGAUGGUCCCGCGGCGUAUUAGCUAGAUGGUGGGGUAACGGCUCACCAUGGCAAUGAUACGUAGCCGACCUGAGAGGGUAAUCGGCCACAUUGGGACUGAGACACGGCCCAAACUCCUACGGGAGGCAGCAGUAGGGAAUCUUCCACAAUGGACGAAAGUCUGAUGGAGCAACGCCGCGUGAGUGAAGAAGGGUUUCGGCUCGUAAAACUCUGUUGUUAAAGAAGAACAUAUCUGAGAGUAACUGUUCAGGUAUUGACGGUAUUUAACCAGAAAGCCACGGCUAACUACGUGCCAGCAGCCGCGGUAAUACGUAGGUGGCAAGCGUUGUCCGGAUUUAUUGGGCGUAAAGCGAGCGCAGGCGGUUUUUUAAGUCUGAUGUGAAAGCCUUCGGCUCAACCGAAGAAGUGCAUCGGAAACUGGGAAACUUGAGUGCAGAAGAGGACAGUGGAACUCCAUGUGUAGCGGUGAAAUGCGUAGAUAUAUGGAAGAACACCAGUGGCGAAGGCGGCUGUCUGGUCUGUAACUGACGCUGAGGCUCGAAAGUAUGGGUAGCAAACAGGAUUAGAUACCCUGGUAGUCCAUACCGUAAACGAUGAAUGCUAAGUGUUGGAGGGUUUCCGCCCUUCAGUGCUGCAGCUAACGCAUUAAGCAUUCCGCCUGGGGAGUACGGCCGCAAGGCUGAAACUCAAAGGAAUUGACGGGGGCCCGCACAAGCGGUGGAGCAUGUGGUUUAAUUCGAAGCUACGCGAAGAACCUUACCAGGUCUUGACAUACUAUGCAAAUCUAAGAGAUUAGACGUUCCCUUCGGGGACAUGGAUACAGGUGGUGCAUGGUUGUCGUCAGCUCGUGUCGUGAGAUGUUGGGUUAAGUCCCGCAACGAGCGCAACCCUUAUUAUCAGUUGCCAGCAUUAAGUUGGGCACUCUGGUGAGACUGCCGGUGACAAACCGGAGGAAGGUGGGGAUGACGUCAAAUCAUCAUGCCCCUUAUGACCUGGGCUACACACGUGCUACAAUGGAUGGUACAACGAGUUGCGAACUCGCGAGAGUAAGCUAAUCUCUUAAAGCCAUUCUCAGUUCGGAUUGUAGGCUGCAACUCGCCUACAUGAAGUCGGAAUCGCUAGUAAUCGCGGAUCAGCAUGCCGCGGUGAAUACGUUCCCGGGCCUUGUACACACCGCCCGUCACACCAUGAGAGUUUGUAACACCCAAAGUCGGU